This 1928-nucleotide ribosomal RNA is filed under the name Klebsiella quasipneumoniae. Its description in RNAcentral is "23S ribosomal RNA". It matches the Rfam family "Bacterial large subunit ribosomal RNA", at positions 1018 to 2925 of the family's 2925-position model. The record is from RNAcentral. Lineage: Bacteria; Pseudomonadati; Pseudomonadota; Gammaproteobacteria; Enterobacterales; Enterobacteriaceae.
GGAAACAACCCAGACCGCCAGCUAAGGUCCCAAAGUCAUGGUUAAGUGGGAAACGAUGUGGGAAGGCACAGACAGCCAGGAUGUUGGCUUAGAAGCAGCCAUCAUUUAAAGAAAGCGUAAUAGCUCACUGGUCGAGUCGGCCUGCGCGGAAGAUGUAACGGGGCUAAACCAUGCACCGAAGCUGCGGCAGCGACACUAUGUGUUGUUGGGUAGGGGAGCGUUCUGUAAGCCUGCGAAGGUGGCCUGUGAGGGUCGCUGGAGGUAUCAGAAGUGCGAAUGCUGACAUAAGUAACGAUAAAGCGGGUGAAAAGCCCGCUCGCCGGAAGACCAAGGGUUCCUGUCCAACGUUAAUCGGGGCAGGGUGAGUCGACCCCUAAGGCGAGGCCGAAAGGCGUAGUCGAUGGGAAACAGGUUAAUAUUCCUGUACUUGGUGUUACUGCGAAGGGGGGACGGAGAAGGCUAUGUUAGCCGGGCGACGGUUGUCCCGGUUUAAGCAUGUAGGCUGNUUAUCCAGGCAAAUCCGGAUAAUCAAGGCUGAGGUGUGAUGACGAGGCACUACGGUGCUGAAGUAACAAAUGCCCUGCUUCCAGGAAAAGCCUCUAAGCAUCAGGUAACAUCAAAUCGUACCCCAAACCGACACAGGUGGUCAGGUAGAGAAUACCAAGGCGCUUGAGAGAACUCGGGUGAAGGAACUAGGCAAAAUGGUGCCGUAACUUCGGGAGAAGGCACGCUGGUGUGUAGGUGAAGCCCCUGCGGGUGGAGCUGAGACCAGUCGAAGAUACCAGCUGGCUGCAACUGUUUAUUAAAAACACAGCACUGUGCAAACACGAAAGUGGACGUAUACGGUGUGACGCCUGCCCGGUGCCGGAAGGUUAAUUGAUGGGGUUAUCCGUAAGGAGAAGCUCUUGAUCGAAGCCCCGGUAAACGGCGGCCGUAACUAUAACGGUCCUAAGGUAGCGAAAUUCCUUGUCGGGUAAGUUCCGACCUGCACGAAUGGCGUAAUGAUGGCCAGGCUGUCUCCACCCGAGACUCAGUGAAAUUGAACUCGCUGUGAAGAUGCAGUGUACCCGCGGCAAGACGGAAAGACCCCGUGAACCUUUACUAUAGCUUGACACUGAACAUUGAGCCUUGAUGUGUAGGAUAGGUGGGAGGCUUUGAAGCGUGGACGCCAGUCUGCGUGGAGCCAACCUUGAAAUACCACCCUUUAAUGUUUGAUGUUCUAACGUUGGCCCCUGACCGGGGUUGCGGACAGUGUCUGGUGGGUAGUUUGACUGGGGCGGUCUCCUCCCAAAGCGUAACGGAGGAGCACGAAGGUUAGCUAAUCCUGGUCGGACAUCAGGAGGUUAGUGCAAUGGCAUAAGCUAGCUUGACUGCGAGCGUGACGGCGCGAGCAGGUGCGAAAGCAGGUCAUAGUGAUCCGGUGGUUCUGAAUGGAAGGGCCAUCGCUCAACGGAUAAAAGGUACUCCGGGGAUAACAGGCUGAUACCGCCCAAGAGUUCAUAUCGACGGCGGUGUUUGGCACCUCGAUGUCGGCUCAUCACAUCCUGGGGCUGAAGUAGGUCCCAAGGGUAUGGCUGUUCGCCAUUUAAAGUGGUACGCGAGCUGGGUUUAGAACGUCGUGAGACAGUUCGGUCCCUAUCUGCCGUGGGCGCUGGAGAAUUGAGGGGGGCUGCUCCUAGUACGAGAGGACCGGAGUGGACGCAUCACUGGUGUUCGGGUUGUCAUGCCAAUGGCACUGCCCGGUAGCUAAAUGCGGAAGAGAUAAGUGCUGAAAGCAUCUAAGCACGAAACUUGCCCCGAGAUGAGUUCUCCCUGAGACUUUAAGUCUCCUGAAGGAACGUUGAAGACGACGACGUUGAUAGGCCGGGUGUGUAAGCGCAGCGAUGCGUUGAGCUAACCGGUACUAAUGAACCGUGAGGCUUAACCUU